GUUUGAUCCUGGCUCAGAUUGAACGCUGGCGGCAUGCCUUACACAUGCAAGUCGAACGGCAGCACGGAGCUUGCUCUGGUGGCGAGUGGCGAACGGGUGAGUAAAAUAUCGGAACGUACCCAGGAGUGGGGGAUAACGUAGCGAAAGUUACGCUAAUACCGCAUACGUCCUAAGGGAGAAAGUGGGGGAUCGCAAGACCUCAUGCUCAUGGAGCGGCCGAUAUCUGAUUAGCUAGUUGGUG
RNAcentral lists this ribosomal RNA (241 nucleotides) under Anophryoides haemophila. Its description in RNAcentral is "partial Bacterial small subunit ribosomal RNA". It matches the Rfam family "Bacterial small subunit ribosomal RNA", at positions 11 to 254 of the family's 1533-position model. The record is from RNAcentral. Lineage: Eukaryota; Ciliophora; Oligohymenophorea; Philasterida; Glauconematidae.